Molecule: ribosomal RNA, 874 nt
Filed under: uncultured bacterium
Lineage: Bacteria
Description: bacterial SSU rRNA
Rfam family: Bacterial small subunit ribosomal RNA
Source: RNAcentral
AGAGUUUGAUCCUGGCUCAGGAUGAACGCUAGCGGCAGGCCUAACACAUGCAAGUCGAGGGGCAGCAUAAUCAAAGUUUACUUUGAUGGUGGCGACCGGCGCACGGGUGCGUAACGCGUAUGCAACCUACCUCGUACAGGGGGAUAGCCCGAAGAAAUUCGGAUUAAGACCCCAUAGUAUCUUUCCAAGGCAUCUUGGAGAGAUUAAAGGUUACGGUACGAGAUGGGCAUGCGUCCCAUUAGCUAGAUGGUAAGGUAACGGCUUACCAUGGCUACGAUGGGUAGGGGGCCUGAGAGGGUGAUCCCCCACACUGGUACUGAGACACGGACCAGACUCCUACGGGAGGCAGCAGUGAGGAAUAUUGGACAAUGGACGCAAGUCUGAUCCAGCCAUGCCGCGUGCAGGAAGAAUGCCCUAUGGGUUGUAAACUGCUUUUAUUCGGGAAUAAACCUCUCUACGUGUAGAGAGCUGAAGGUACCGAAAGAAUAAGCACCGGCUAACUCCGUGCCAGCAGCCGCGGUAAUACGGAGGGUGCAAGCGUUAUCCGGAAUCAUUGGGUUUAAAGGGUCCGCAGGCGGGCAUAUAAGUCAGUGGUGAAAUCCCAUCGCUUAACGAUGGAACUGCCAUUGAUACUGUAUGCCUUGAAUUCGGUCAAAGUGGGCGGAAUAUGACAUGUAGCGGUGAAAUGCUUAGAUAUGUCAUAGAACACCGAUAGCGAAGGCAGCUCACUAGGCCUGGAUUGACGCUCAGGGACGAAAGCGUGGGUAGCAAACAGGAUUAGAUACCCUGGUAGUCCACCGCCGUAAACGAUGAUUACUCGAUAUUAGCGAUAUACCUGUUAGUGUCUAAGCGAAAGUGAUAAGUAUCCCCCUGG